UACAGAGGUCUCAAGCGUUGUUCGGAUUCAUUGGGCGUAAAGGGUGCGUAGGUGGCGAGGUUAGACAGGUGUGAAAUCUCGGGGCUCAACCCCGAAACUGCACUUGAUACUGCCUUGCUAGAGUACUGGAGAGGAGAUUGGAAUUUACGGUGUAGCAGUGAAAUGCGUAGAUAUCGUAAGGAAGACCAGUGGCGAAGGCGAAUCUCUGGACAGUUACUGACACUGAGGCACGAAGGCCAGGGGAGCAAACGGG
This 253-nucleotide ribosomal RNA is filed under the name uncultured bacterium. RNAcentral's name for it is "partial 16S ribosomal RNA". It matches the Rfam family "Bacterial small subunit ribosomal RNA", at positions 524 to 776 of the family's 1533-position model. The record is from RNAcentral.